RNAcentral lists this ribosomal RNA (485 nucleotides) under uncultured bacterium. RNAcentral's name for it is "SSU rRNA". It matches the Rfam family "Bacterial small subunit ribosomal RNA", at positions 26 to 518 of the family's 1533-position model. The record is from RNAcentral.
AGGAUGAACGCUGGCGGCGUGCCUAACACAUGCAAGUGGAGCGACGAACCCGGACUUGUCCGGGGGCAAAGCCGCGAACGGGUGAGUAACACGUGGGUUAUCUGCCCCAAUGACCGGGACAACUCGAGGAAACUCGAGCUAAUACCGGAUGUGCUCUUCGGAGGAAAGGAAGCUUCGGCCUCCGCAUUGGGAUGAGCCCGCGGCGCAUUAGCUUGUUGGUGAGGUAAAAGCUCACCAAGGCGACGAUGCGUAGCUGGUCUGAGAGGACGAUCAGCCACACUGGAACUGAGACACGGCCCAGACUCCUACGGGAGGCAGCAGUAAGGAAUAUUCCACAAUGGGCGAAAGCCUGAUGGAGCGACGCCGCGUGCGGGAAGACGCCUUUCGGGGUGUAAACCGCUUUUCUCGGGGAUGAAACGUGUUCUCACGAACACUAAGACAGUACCUGAGGAAUAAGCAUCGGCUAACUACGUGCCAGCAGCCGC